This 523-nucleotide ribosomal RNA is filed under the name uncultured bacterium. RNAcentral's name for it is "bacterial SSU rRNA". It matches the Rfam family "Bacterial small subunit ribosomal RNA", at positions 988 to 1509 of the family's 1533-position model. The record is from RNAcentral.
CCAGAGAACUUUCCAGAGAUGGGAUUGGUGGCCUUCGGGAACUCUGAGACAGGUGCUGCAUGGCUGUCGUCAGCUCGUGUUGUGAAAUGUUGGGUUAAGUCCCGCAACGAGCGCAACCCUUAUCCUUUGUUGCCAGCGGUUAGGCCGGGAACUCAAAGGAGACUGCCAGUGAUAAACUGGAGGAAGGUGGGGAUGACGUCAAGUCAUCAUGGCCCUUACGAGUAGGGCUACACACGUGCUACAAUGGCGCAUACAAAGAGAAGCGACCUCGCGAGAGCAAGCGGACCUCAUAAAGUGCGUCGUAGUCCGGAUUGGAGUCUGCAACUCGACUCCAUGAAGUCGGAAUCGCUAGUAAUCGUGGAUCAGAAUGCCACGGUGAAUACGUUCCCGGGCCUUGUACACACCGCCCGUCACACCAUGGGAGUGGGUUGCAAAAGAAGUAGGUAGCUUAACCUUCGGGAGGGCGCUUACCACUUUGUGAUUCAUGACUGGGGUGAAGUCGUAACAAGGUAAGCGUAGUGCU